AGUGAACGCUGGCGGUAGGCCUAACACAUGCAAGUCGAACGGCAGCACAGUAAGAGCUUGCUCUUACGGGUGGCGAGUGGCGGACGGGUGAGGAAUACAUCGGAAUCUACUUUUUCGUGGGGGAUAACGUAGGGAAACUACGCUAAUACCGCAUACGACCUACGGGUGAAAGCAGGGGAUCUUCGGACCUUGCGCGAUUGAAUGAGCCGAUGUUGGAUUAGGUAGUUGGCGGGGUAAAGGCCCACCAAGGCGACGAUCCGUAGCUGGUCUGAGAGGAUGAUCAGCCACACUGGAACUGAGACACGGUCCAGACUCCUACGGGAGGCAGCAGUGGGGAAUAUUGGACAAAGGGCGCAAGCCUGAUCCAGCCAUACCGCGUGGGUGAAGAAGGCCUUCGGGUUGUAAAGCCCUUUUGCUGGGAAAGAAAAGCAGCAGGUUAAUACCCCGCUGUUCUGACGGUACCCAAAGAAUAAGCACCGGCUAACUUCGUG
Molecule: ribosomal RNA, 491 nt
Filed under: uncultured bacterium
Lineage: Bacteria
Description: partial 16S ribosomal RNA
Rfam family: Bacterial small subunit ribosomal RNA
Source: RNAcentral